Molecule: transfer RNA, 73 nt
Filed under: Ovis aries (sheep)
Lineage: Eukaryota; Metazoa; Chordata; Mammalia; Artiodactyla; Bovidae
Source: Rfam by way of RNAcentral
UCCCUGGUGGUCCAUUGGUUAAGAUUCUGAGCUCCCAAUGCAGAGGGCCCAGGUUCUUUCCCUGGUCAGGGAA